Molecule: ribosomal RNA, 615 nt
Filed under: Klebsiella pneumoniae
Lineage: Bacteria; Pseudomonadati; Pseudomonadota; Gammaproteobacteria; Enterobacterales; Enterobacteriaceae
Description: bacterial SSU rRNA
Rfam family: Bacterial small subunit ribosomal RNA
Source: RNAcentral
AAAUUGAAGAGUUUGAUCAUGGCUCAGAUUGAACGCUGGCGGCAGGCCUAACACAUGCAAGUCGAGCGGUAGCACAGAGAGCUUGCUCUCGGGUGACGAGCGGCGGACGGGUGAGUAAUGUCUGGGAAACUGCCUGAUGGAGGGGGAUAACUACUGGAAACGGUAGCUAAUACCGCAUAAUGUCGCAAGACCAAAGUGGGGGACCUUCGGGCCUCAUGCCAUCAGAUGUGCCCAGAUGGGAUUAGCUAGUAGGUGGGGUAACGGCUCACCUAGGCGACGAUCCCUAGCUGGUCUGAGAGGAUGACCAGCCACACUGGAACUGAGACACGGUCCAGACUCCUACGGGAGGCAGCAGUGGGGAAUAUUGCACAAUGGGCGCAAGCCUGAUGCAGCCAUGCCGCGUGUGUGAAGAAGGCCUUCGGGUUGUAAAGCACUUUCAGCGGGGAGGAAGGCGGUGAGGUUAAUAACCUCAUCGAUUGACGUUACCCGCAGAAGAAGCACCGGCUAACUCCGUGCCAGCAGCCGCGGUAAUACGGAGGGUGCAAGCGUUAAUCGGAAUUACUGGGCGUAAAGCGCACGCAGGCGGUCUGUCAAGUCGGAUGUGAAAUCCCCGGG